This is an unclassified non-coding RNA of Gopherus agassizii (Agassiz's desert tortoise), 63 nucleotides long. The record is from Ensembl. Lineage: Eukaryota; Metazoa; Chordata; Testudines; Testudinidae.
GUGAAAGUUUCAUUUGAUCUAAACAACAUUCAGAUCAAAUACAUGGAUGAAGAUAAUGAUGAG